AGAGUUUGAUCCUGGCUCAGGAUGAACGCUAGCUACAGGCUUAACACAUGCAAGUCGAGGGGCAGCAUGUUGGUUGCUUGCAACCAAUGAUGGCGACCGGCGCACGGGUGAGUAACGCGUAUCCAACCUGCCCACCACUUGGGGAUAACCUUGCGAAAGUAAGACUAAUACCCAAUGAUAUCUCUAGAAGACAUCUGAAAGAGAUUAAAGAUUUAUCGGUGAUGGAUGGGGAUGCGUCUGAUUAGCUUGUUGGCGGGGUAACGGCCACAAGGCGACGAUCAGUAGGGGUUCUGAGAGGAAGGUCCCCACAUUGGAACUGAGACACGGUCCAAACUCCUACGGGAGCA
This 347-nucleotide ribosomal RNA is filed under the name uncultured bacterium. RNAcentral describes it as "bacterial SSU rRNA". It matches the Rfam family "Bacterial small subunit ribosomal RNA", at positions 8 to 349 of the family's 1533-position model. The record is from RNAcentral.